UACAGGGGGUGCAAACGUUGCUCGGAAUCAUUGGGCGUAAAGCGCACGUAGGCGGUCUGUUAUGUCGGAUGUGAAAGCCCUUGGCUUAACUGAGGAAGCGCAUCCGAAACUGGCAGGCUAGAGUACUAAAGAGGGUCGCGGAAUUCCCGGUGUAGAGGUGAAAUUCGUAGAUAUCGGGAGGAACACCGGUGGCGAAGGCGGCGACCUGGGUAGAUACUGACGCUGAGGUGCGAAAGCGUGGGGAGCGAACAGG
Molecule: ribosomal RNA, 253 nt
Filed under: uncultured bacterium
Lineage: Bacteria
Description: partial 16S ribosomal RNA
Rfam family: Bacterial small subunit ribosomal RNA
Source: RNAcentral